CAGGUAUCUAAUUUAUAUGAAGCACCCUGGAGUCAAUGUCUCUUUGUACUGUUAUUUGUCAAAUGAUUCAAGCACUGCUUUAAAGUAUAUGUGAGGUUACUAGUCAAUCUUAACGCUCUAAAUCUGCAUGCUAUGCUACGCACAUUUUUUUCCUCUAAGCACAUGAAAUUCUAAAUUAUAUUUGCCUUUGAUAUUUUUAUUUUUCUUUCUUUAAGGAAUAUCACGGGAAAGCAUGAAGCUGUUAUAAAGUUAAUAUCUGCUAUUCUGGACUCAAGAAGGUCAAUCUGUACCCUCCGUACGUGCCUCCUUUCCUAGCCUUCCCAAGAAGUCUUAAGAAAAAUGGACAUCAACCAGGCUGAAACCUUGGCAUCAUACCUGGCACCUGCUGGAUGCUUAAUAAGUACUUGUGGACUGAGUGACUCUCAUGCCUUACCUCUGCAGUGUAGACAAUAGUACCCAUGCUUGCUACAUCACGGAGGACUUGUUAAGCAUUAUUCAAUUAUGAAUCUUUAGCUAGUCUACAUGUCAUAGAUUCUAAUAUUGAUGUUUUCUACCCUUUAAUAUAAGUGAAUUUUAAUCCAUUUUAUAGUACAUCUUGAAAUUAUAUAUAUAAUUUCCUUAGUGGUACCUAAUGUAUCUUCCAAUCAAUAAUUUUCCUGAUUUAUUGAAAAACGGUAUUAAAUAAAUGUAAUUACAAAACC
Long non-coding RNA from Homo sapiens (human), 701 nucleotides. The record is from Ensembl. Lineage: Eukaryota; Metazoa; Chordata; Mammalia; Primates; Hominidae.